AGCGAACUUCAAACUAGACUGGAUGUAUUUUAACCGAAAGCAAUCCAUUUUCCCGCGUUUGCCUGCAAUAUGCAAUUGGAGCUCCGAAGUUUUCGUUCACAUUGCUCCUCCAACCUUGCAACUUCAAGUAAUGUGUUGGAAUCGAUUCGCUUUGAUAGUUGGAGUGUGGGCAUUUGGUCUGCAAAUUUCGUAAAAUCGCCAAUUGAAGGGCAAGAUUUUUGUUCAGAAAAGUUCUUCUUGGUCCUACAAAUCUAGGGAUUGGAACACCUUCAUAGUCCAGUCGCUUCGUUGGAAAUGCGUUCGCCAAGACCACCAAAGUACAAAGGAGAUUUUACCGUCAAAGUAUAAAUCUCUGCCGUCAAUGAGACUCCAUGGCGUGCAGCUAGUCGACGUGAUUUCGAAAUCUGAUGGAUGAUUUAAACAAAAUCCUCCUUGGCUCUGGCUAUUGAGAACUCGCACAAAGGGGCUACAAAUUUUGGAGAAAAAGACAGGAAGAAGACGUUUAUUAUAAAGAUUGUAAGGGAUUCGCGCUUAUUCAUCAGAGGCAAAAAAGAGUAAAAGUAUCACUCUCUCUUUUCGAUGGGUUCGGAUCCCUUUGCUUCAUCAUCCAAUGGAGACUCUCACUAGGUGACAAAGUCAGAGAACAGGUGAAGAAAGCAGGUGGGGAGUUUCAAAUUUUGAAGGAAAGCAGGUGAAGAUGAGCACAAAGUAAGAAAACAACACCAGGGUCCUGUCUGUUUUUGGGCUUUUGAGGUGGGAGUUUUGUUUGGAAGCUGUUGGAAUUAUACUCUCAAGGUAUUUAUCUGAAUUAACAACAAUUAAUUAUUAUAAUCAUUCAUUUAUUGACAUAUAGCUUGUCAGUCUCCUAAUUUGCUUUGGAGCUUUCUCCAACUACUUGAACUAUAAUAUUGAUCAACCCCAGCUCAUCAACUUGGCAAGUUGUAAGUUUUCUAACCAAUUUCCUCUCUCCCUCAUCAACCUUUUUUUUUUCUUUGAAAUUUCCCCAUAUUUCUACUUCUAAAUUACAUUCUUCUAUAGAUAAUAAAUGAAGCCACUAGAGACAUUUGAAAUUAGUGAACAGCAAAAUCCAUGUUGAAAAAAAAAACCUCAAGAUGUGGUAAAUUUUGACGCAAUUACAUUAAUUUAAUUCAGAUUUAAAUUUAUAUUAGAUUUAGAUUAAAUUAAUUAAAUUCCAUCCUUCACUAUUUUGAUAUGUUUGAAUUGGGUUUCUAAGUGCUUAAAAACAUUUUUGUUCAAAAUAUAUAUUUUUAAGUACUUAGAAAAUAAAUCCAAGCAAGUCUUCCAUUAUCAAUAUCCAUCUUGAUUAAUUGAUUAUUAAUAAAUGAUAAAUUAUCUGAAGAGAAACAUAGGUUCAUUGUGUUCUUACACUAUCCAACAAAAAUAGCUGAAGGUUUUAAGGUAACUUCUUCAAGGUGUCAAUCUGCAAGUACUUAGGUUGUCCUACCAGUCUAGGUUUUUUGCUUGUCCAAAUUAGCAAGUACAGAGAGAAGGGACCCAUAUGCCAAAAGUUAUUGGUGCCUGGAUGAAUUAUUUUGCCAAUUUAUAUUUUCUUCUGGUCAUCCCUCUAAAUCAAAUACAAAUUAAUUUCAUCACAAAGGUGAUCAGCUCUUUAGCCAGCAACAAUAAUCAAUUUACCUAGGUCUAGGUUCAUUAGUAACUUUGAUCUCUUCAAUGUCAUUACAACAAAUUUUGGACUUUGUCUAGUAUCUUAGUACUUCUUAGGUAAAUAUAAAAAUAUAGAACUGCAUUUAAGGUUUUUAAAUCUAUUUGGAAUGCUUAGAAACUUCUUUUUAUAUAUAUAUAUAUAUAUAUGUAUGUAUGUAUGUAUGUAUGUAUUUUUAAAAACUCUUUUUAAACACUUGAAAAAUCCAGUAGACAUAACUAAAUAGAGGGUCUCUAACUAACAAUAUUCCUUUCCAUUAUAUUUUGUUAAUAAAGAAUGUAGAGAUUAUUUGGAAGCCAAGUUUUGUCUUCUAAAAAAACCAUAGUCUAUUUUUCUAAAAAUAAGAACCUGUUCUUGAAUAUAAAAAGGAAAAUAUUGUCCUACUAAGGGCUUGGCCACCACUAAGCUUUUUAUGGAAAGAAAAUGCUUCUCUUCCCUCCUUUUCUCUCUACCCAUCAAAACUUUAGUGGUGAGCAACAAAAAAGUUUCCUACUCUUCAAUACACAUAUUUUUUUAUAAACUUAUUUUUGUAAGAGAGUUUAUAAAAACUAGUUCUGGAAAUAAAAUAAUAAUAAUAAUAAUAGUAAAAACAAGACUGUACUUUGUUAUUUUCAUAUGCUUUUUCUUUAUUGUUUCUUAAAUCAACUGUUCAUACGCAACCCAUUAGUAAUUUUUAUAGGUACAAUAAUAUUCCUGAAUUGAUAUGUUUAGUAAAAGAAAAAUUAAAAUGAUACACUAUAAAAAAUGAUCAAAAUCAUUUUAAUCAUGGAGCCAAAUGCACAUGAUCUGAUCCCAAACCAAGGGAAGGAACCUCCCAAUAAGACAAUAAAUAAAUCAUUUAAUUUUUGGUUGGAAGCAUUCUAUAAAUUCCUUUGCAGCCUAUAAUAUGCAGUGGAUGCUAUUUUGCUGACACCUAGCUGCCAACCAAACCUUUUCUUCCAUUAAUGGCUGCUACCCAGAGCUCCAAUCCUUCAUCUCAGCCUCCAAAUCCUUUAAAUUCCAAUCCUAAUAAUCAAGAGAUCAACCAUGGCAGAAGAAGGUUUCUUGGAGUGAGACAACGCCCUUCUGGAAGAUGGGUUGCGGAGAUCAAAGUUUCCUCACAGAAGCUUAGGCUAUGGCUUGGCACUUUCAACAGAGCUGAAGAUGCUGCCAUGGCUUAUGACAGAGCUGCAAGGCUUCUAAGAGGAAGAUCCGCAAAGACAAACUUCCCAUAUGAUGAUCACGAUCAUGGCUUCUUCAAUUCUUCCACCAUUAAUGAAGAACAAAGUCGAUCCUUGUUUGGACAUAGUCCUAAGCUCUGCCGUUUGCUUCAACAUGCCAUCAUGAAGAACAGAAGCCGUUUGAGAUCAACAGCUGAUUAUCAGCAGCAGAUAACGAGAAAUAAUGGGUUGAUUGAUUCGGUUGUUGAAGAUACUAUUUUCUGUUCUUCAACGAAUUUGGUUGAAAAUAAGAAUGAUAAUAAUAAAGGAUGUGGGUGUGGAUUCUCUUUUGGGGGUUCUAAAGUUUAUACUUCUGUGUUUGUAGCUCCUUCUUUUAGCUCUGAUGUUGAGAAGUGAGGUAGAAGAAGGGAGAUGAUGAUGAAUCCUUGUAAGCUUUGAUUUAGUGUAGUUUUUUAGUUGGGAAUCUGUUGUUCUUCUUCCAUGUAGUUUCGUCCAUGUAAAAUUACAGUUCUCUCUUUCAUGUUGCUACCACUGUGUUAAUGGAGAAGCUGAAAAAUAAAGAAUGAACUUCCUCUAUGUUAUGAGUGUAUAUGACAUGAUUAUGAAAUUAUUGGAUAACACA
Benincasa hispida (wax gourd) is the source of this 3466-nucleotide long non-coding RNA. RefSeq lists it as uncharacterized. NCBI's taxonomy places the organism in Eukaryota, Viridiplantae, Streptophyta, Magnoliopsida, Cucurbitales, Cucurbitaceae. The record is from RefSeq and is a predicted model, not a curated record.